RNAcentral lists this signal recognition particle RNA (77 nucleotides) under Thermogemmatispora sp. RNAcentral's name for it is "partial signal recognition particle sRNA small type". It matches the Rfam family "Bacterial small signal recognition particle RNA", at positions 1 to 76 of the family's 97-position model. From Rfam's summary of the family: The signal recognition particle (SRP) is a universally conserved ribonucleoprotein involved in the co-translational targeting of proteins to membranes. Lineage: Bacteria; Bacillati; Chloroflexota; Ktedonobacteria; Thermogemmatisporales; Thermogemmatisporaceae. The record is from RNAcentral.
AAUUGGGUCCUGCGCGGCAGAUGUCUGUGAACCCCGCCAGGUCCGUGAGGAAGCAACGGUAAAUGGACCUCUCUGGG